CAGAUUAUUGGGCAUCAAGGUGGAGAUUGUUGGGUUUUUUUAUACCCAAUAAUCCGGACGAUGAUUUAAAACAGUUGUCGGAUUAUUUAUCGACACCAUGGACUUGGCUCGGCUCGGCUCGGAGACGAACUACACUUUUGGAUGGCUCGGGUUUGGAUUGGAUGAUUAUUUGGUUAGUUAGACCAUUUGGUGAUUAAUAUGGAGUUAGAAAUUGGCCCAUUAGUUUAGGUUAUAUAGCAGUCCACUUAGAGAUUUCUUAGCCCAUAUUUGGUAACCUAAACUAACAUAUAUAUAUGUAUUUAUCUCCCAGCCGUUUUGGCGUAUGUGUGUUGUAGCAAUGGAGACGAGAGUUGAGAGAAGAGAGGCAGCCGAUAGAGAGGGAAGCCAUGUGAAGUUGUGAGUGAAAUUCAACUAUUGUGAUACCUUCUUCUUCCUCUCCAUACCUUUGUGGAUUGCUAACACCACCACCCUUCUUCUAUGUGGGGGUUAGAGAGAAAGUGAGCAGUUCAAAGUGAAGGCGAAAGUCCUGGGUCAAGUUGAGGUAAAUCGGUGUUCUUUUGAUUGUUUUCUGAGCCUGGAAUCAAGACUUAUCGAGGAAUUUCUGCUACACACAUUCAGUUGUAUUUCCUCUUCUUGUUCAAACAUAUGACCAUAU
This 655-nucleotide long non-coding RNA is filed under the name Olea europaea subsp. europaea. Lineage: Eukaryota; Viridiplantae; Streptophyta; Magnoliopsida; Lamiales; Oleaceae. The record is from RNAcentral.